RNAcentral lists this ribosomal RNA (465 nucleotides) under uncultured bacterium. RNAcentral's name for it is "partial 16S ribosomal RNA". It matches the Rfam family "Bacterial small subunit ribosomal RNA", at positions 338 to 795 of the family's 1533-position model. The record is from RNAcentral.
CCUACGGGAGGCAGCAGUAGGGAAUCUUCCACAAUGGGCGAAAGCCUGAUGGAGCAACGCCGCGUGGGUGAAGAAGGUCUUCGGAUCGUAAAACCCUGUUGUUAGAGAAGAAAGUGCGUGGGAGUAACUGUUCACGUUUCGACGGUAUCUAACCAGAAAGCAACGGCUAACUACGUGCCAGCAGCCGCGGUAAUACGUAGGUGGCAAGCGUUAUCCGGAAUUAUUGGGCGUAAAGGGAACGCAGGCGGUCUGUUAAGUCUGAUGUGAAAUCCUCGGGCUUAACCGGGGUAGUGCAUGUGAUACUGGGAAGCUUGAGUGCAGUAGAGGGGGGUAGAACUCCAUGUGUAGCGGUGAAAUGCGUAGAGAUGUGGAAGAACACCAGUGGCGAAAGCGGCUCCCUGGACUGUAACUGACGCUGAGGUUCGAAAGCGUGGGUAGCAAACAGGAUUAGAUACCCUAGUAGUC